GACGACCUCAGAGCAGGCGAGACUACCCGCUGAAUUUAAGCAUAUUACUAAGCGGAGGAAAAGAAACUAACAAGGAUUUCCUUAGUAGCGUCGAGCGAACAGGAAUUAGCCCAGCACUGAAUCCCGCGGUUCUGCCGUUGGGAAAUGUAGUGUUCGGGAGGGUUCGUUUUAUCCCGCGGCGUCGGACCGCGUCCAAGUCCAUCUUGAAUGGGGCCAUUUACCCGUAGAGGGUGCCAGGCCCGUAGAGACCGGGACGCGCCGUGGGUGAACCUCUCCUUAGAGUCGGGUUGCUUGAGAGUGCAGCUCUAAGUUGGUGGUAAACUCCAUCUAAGGCUAAAUAUG
RNAcentral lists this ribosomal RNA (342 nucleotides) under Ooencyrtus pityocampae. Its description in RNAcentral is "eukaryotic LSU rRNA". It matches the Rfam family "Eukaryotic large subunit ribosomal RNA", at positions 1 to 324 of the family's 3401-position model. Lineage: Eukaryota; Metazoa; Arthropoda; Insecta; Hymenoptera; Encyrtidae. The record is from RNAcentral.